Molecule: non-coding RNA, 451 nt
Organism: Drosophila melanogaster (fruit fly)
Lineage: Eukaryota; Metazoa; Arthropoda; Insecta; Diptera; Drosophilidae
Source: Ensembl
UUACAUACCUACGAAUUUGUGAGAACGUCGCCCGUUACCGUUUUAGCUUUCAUGGGGUAACAUUAACCGUCCCGCAACCCGGCCAACCCCCCGCCACUCCUACAACCCAUAACUACACAAUGCCGUCGCAGGGACAACAACAACAGCAACAUGCGAGCAUUGCACACCACAUACACGCUCCUCUGCUCUUUCGGCCUGCUAAUCGUUUCUGCUCGCCUGCUGGCUGCUUAUGUUUAUUUGUAUAUAUCGAGCAACACAAACGCACAAAGCUCAUAUGCAAAACCCGCCCGGCACAUACAACUCUACCGUGCCACCCGUAUGCCCCAUAGACUCAUGGGUACACCCCGAGCAACCGUACUCUCUGCAACGGAAAGCAUCCGCAUAUCCAUCAGAGCUCGGCUAGCCAACGAGCACGGACUUGCUGUCGAGUUGUAUGUUGCUUUACACUUGG